UUAAGGGUCCCCCAUGCUGGCCAAGGCAGGCCUUCCUUCAGCACUGAUAAGUCAUGGGCCCAGCUCCUGCUUGCUCUGGCAGGGGAAGCAGGAGAGGCAGGCGAGGAGAAGAGGAACACUUUGGCAGUCUGUCAAUCAACACUGCUUCUCAGAGCAGGUAUCAAGGUGCAGAAAAAUGAACGGCCGCCGCGGAGCUUGACAGGGGCCGAACAAAGAAGCGGCUGGUGACUGGGCUCCUGCCUGUGGUUCUCAGCUUCGGAGCACCCAGGGCUGGGAGCAGGCCACGACCCCACACCUGCUCGCCAUUCCUUUCCAGCCAAGCAGGCUCUUAGCAACGGCUCAGUGCGUCACCUAGAAACGCUGAAACCCAAAGAGCCCUUCCAGGCUGAGCGCAAAGGCAGAGGGAGAGCGGAGUGCAGCAGCAGGCGGGGCCGUGUGGCUUCAUGCGCCGAGCACCCUGAUACCAAGCAAAACCUUGGCAAGGGGAGUCUGGCUGGCAUCCGGGGUGCAUUGAUUGAUAGCGCGGCACCCCUGUUCUUGGCCCCUUUGUGUUCACAGGCUCCAACCGGUCGGUCUUUGUCUAGGUCCUGGCAGCCUGCUUCCAUACAGAAAGAGGUGGGCAUCUCAGCAGCUACCAGGGAUGGGAGUGGAGGCAGAAGCAGAAGCAGAGGUUGCAGUUGGUGAAAGCAGCAGAAUGCACACUGCUCAGCUUCCCCGGGAGGGAAAGGUAAGGAGGAGACCCAGGCCUGCACGCUGCUUUGCCUAUUUCCUGGAAGCCCUUCUCCAAAGCUCACAAUGGCUGGAGAGAAGCAGCUAACCCUGGCCCAGUUCCUAGUCCAGCCAAUGUCUGUUCACUGGACCAGCACAGAAUGUGCUCUUUUAGAUGGCAUCACUUACUCGGAUGCCCUGGGUAAUUGGGAGGAAGAUUAAAAGGUGUGAGAGGAGCCCGUGUGCCAACCUUGCUCUGUGGAAGCUGCCCCUCCCCACAGUGCUACUGAGCCAUUAGUUCAUCACCACCUUCUGUUCAUUUCCCCAUGACCUCACCACCAAGGUGUCCCAGGGGCCUCAGCCCAAGGUUGCCAAGUUCUACACAGGCAACCUUGUCCUGCAGCCCUCUCAGCCCAGAGCCCAGGUCCUCAUCUGUCAAAUAAAGGGGUGCCUCCACCUGCAACCUGGAGCCAUCCUGGACUCCACAGUCCACCUUUCAGAGGCUCAGCUUCACCAGAUCACCAGCCCUGGCCACAUACCCAUUGUCACAGUCUCAUACCCAUUCAGCUCUGAGCCUGCUACUAGCCUGAAAGGGCAUAGAGCUAAGCCACUGCCCUAACUUGAAGUGCAAGAAUGGACAGUGUAACCUGGGCAUCAGCCAGAAAGAAAACCUUCCACCAGGUAAGAAAACUGGUUAAAACAAACAAACUAACUAACUAACUAAAAUACACGAGGAACUGCACCAUACAAACGCCAGAAGUGGUGAUUGGUAGCAUUACUGCUUCGUGUUGUCAAUUAUAUCUUCUCCAGUUAGUUUGGGUUUUGCAAUCAGACAUGCUUUGCAUCAGACUUUUAUUGUCUUGCUUCUGCUGAGACCAGUUGAUUAGAAGACAGUGACAUUUGUCUCAGUGCAGCUCAGGGAGGCAUCAGACACAGGAGAGCAGCCUGCAUGGUUCUAAUGCUUGACCUGCUUGACUCAACACAUCCAGCAGUGGUAUGAGCUUUCUGGGGCCCCCUAAGGUGCCAGGCGAUUUCCUGGGUAACUCUGCGCAGUCUUCAUCUUCUCUUAGACCUUUCCCCUGGUGAAUUCUCCAAUUCCCAUGCAGAGGCUUUGCCUUUUCAAUGUGCACAACAAGGAAUAAUCAACGGAGAAGCACACACAUGCCUUCCUCCCUGGCUAGAGAGCUGCAGAAGCCCCCAUCAGAACCACUUGUCCUCCCUCCAUCUCUCCAGAUGAGAGAGGAGGGACAACUCACUCCCAGAUUUGAAGGGGAAAAUGCCCCUUUGGGGGUAUCAAUCAGGUGCAUCAUCUAAGUUUAAGGACACUGAUGAAAAACUAAAGAGACAUAUCAGAGAAACUGCUGACUCGUGAUAAGGAGAAGUCUAUGACAAAGAACCCGGGAAAAACUAUAAGUGAGAAACAGUAUGACAGUCUUCUUCCUUGGUUUUAUAGAUUUUAAUAAUUUACACUUUUGUGUUUAUGUAACAAUGUAUUUUCAAGUAAUAUUUGGUGCCUGUUAAGUUGCUGCAUCAUUUGGAAACCAAAUGUUUAAAGAAAACAGAAGUUGAAUAUGUAAAUAGGCAUGAUGAGCUUUUUGAGAGCCAAAAAUUGUGUUUUACAGCUUUUCAAAGUAAAACAAUAAGCCUCUGAAGCAUCUCACAGGGUAAAUUAUCACUUUGCAUUGGCUGAAGAAGUGCACAAAGUAAUGGAGAGAAUAAUAAACCCUCACACAUUGGCAUUGCUGAGUGCUACUGAA
Ictidomys tridecemlineatus (thirteen-lined ground squirrel) is the source of this 2465-nucleotide non-coding RNA. Lineage: Eukaryota; Metazoa; Chordata; Mammalia; Rodentia; Sciuridae. The record is from RefSeq and is a predicted model, not a curated record.